GACGAACGCUGGCGGCAUGCCUAACACAUGCAAGUCGAACGGAUACAACACUUCGGUGGUGUAUUAGUGGCGAACGGGUGAGUAACACGUGAAUAACCUGCCUCUUGCUUUGGGAUAACGCCUGGAAACGGGUGCUAAUACCGAAUAAGACCACGCCGAGGCAUCUCGGCGGGGUAAAAGUGAAAGAGCGGUAAGAGAUGGAUUCGCGUCCGAUUAGUUAGUUGGUGAGGUAACGGCUCACCAAGACAGCGAUCGGUAGCCGACUUGAGAGAGUGAUCGGCCACACUGGAACUGAGACACGGUCCAGACUCCUACGGGAGGCAGCAGUGGGGAAUAUUGGGCAAUGGGCGAAAGCCUUACCCAGCAAUGCCGCGUGAGUGAAGAAGGUCUUCGGAUUGUAAAGCUCUUUGAUUGGGGACGAAAGAAUGACGGUACCCAAGGAACAAGCCCCGGCUAACUAUGUGCCAGCAGCCGCGGUAAUACAUAGGGGGCAAGCGUUGUCCGGAAUGACUGGGCGUAAAGGGUGUGUAGGCGGUUCGUCAAGUCGGAAGUGUAAUACCUAGAGCUUAACUCAGGUGCUGCUUCCGAAACUAACGGACUUGAGUGUCGGAGAGGAAAAUGGAAUUCCUAGUGUAGCGGUAGAAUGCGUAGAUAUUAGGAGGAACACCAGAGGCGAAAGCGAUUUUCUGGACGACAACUGACGCUGAGGCACGAAAGCGUGGGGAGCAAACAGGAUUAGAUACCCUGGUAGUCCACGCCGUAAACUAUGGAUACUAGGUGUAGGGGGUAUCGACUCCCUCUGUACCGAAGCUAACGCAUUAAGUAUCCCGCCUGGGGAGUACGGCCGCAAGGUUG
This 855-nucleotide ribosomal RNA is filed under the name uncultured bacterium. Its description in RNAcentral is "bacterial SSU rRNA". It matches the Rfam family "Bacterial small subunit ribosomal RNA", at positions 28 to 896 of the family's 1533-position model. The record is from RNAcentral.